This 502-nucleotide ribosomal RNA is filed under the name Dialister sp. oral taxon 502. RNAcentral's name for it is "bacterial SSU rRNA". It matches the Rfam family "Bacterial small subunit ribosomal RNA", at positions 28 to 495 of the family's 1533-position model. The record is from RNAcentral. Lineage: Bacteria; Bacillati; Bacillota; Negativicutes; Veillonellales; Veillonellaceae.
GACGAACGCUGGCGGCGUGCUUAACACAUGCAAGUCGAACGAAAAGAGGGAAAGAGCUUGCUCUUUUAUUAAUUUCAGUGGCAAACGGGUGAGUAACACGUAAACAACCUGCCUUAAGGAUGGGGAUAACAGACGGAAACGACUGCUAAUACCGAAUACGUUCUAAGCAUCGCAUGAUGCAUAGAAGAAAGGGUGGCCUCUACAAGAAAGCUAUCGCCUUAAGAGGGGUUUGCGACUGAUUAGGUAGUUGGUGAGGUAACGGCUCACCAAGCCGACGAUCAGUAGCCGGUCUGAGAGGAUGAACGGCCACACUGGAACUGAGACACGGUCCAGACUCCUACGGGAGGCAGCAGUGGGGAAUCUUCCGCAAUGGACGAAAGUCUGACGGAGCAACGCCGCGUGAACGAAGAAGGUCUUCGGAUUGUAAAGUUCUGUGAUUCGGGACGAAAGGGUAAAUAGUGAAUAACUAUAGACAUUGAUGGUACCGAAAAAGCAAGCCACG